GGGAAACAGGUUAAUAUUCCUGUACUUGGUGUUACUGCGAAGGGGGGACGGAGAAGGCUAUGUUGGCCGGGCGACGGUUGUCCCGGUUUAAGCGUGUAGGCUGGUUUUCCAGGCAAAUCCGGAAAAUCAAGGCUGAGGCGUGAUGACGAGGCACUACGGUGCUGAAGCAACAAAUGCCCUGCUUCCAGGAAAAGCCUCUAAGCAUCAGGUAACAUCAAAUCGUACCCCAAACCGACACAGGUGGUCAGGUAGAGAAUACCAAGGCGCUUGAGAGAACUCGGGUGAAGGAACUAGGCAAAAUGGUGCCGUAACUUCGGGAGAAGGCACGCUGAUAUGUAGGUGAAGUCCCUUGCGGAUGGAGCUGAAAUCAGUCGAAGAUACCAGCUGGCUGCAACUGUUUAUUAAAAACACAGCACUGUGCAAACACGAAAGUGGACGUAUACGGUGUGACGCCUGCCCGGUGCCGGAAGGUUAAUUGAUGGGGUCAGCGCAAGCGAAGCUCUUGAUCGAAGCCCCGGUAAACGGCGGCCGUAACUAUAACGGUCCUAAGGUAGCGAAAUUCCUUGUCGGGUAAGUUCCGACCUGCACGAAUGGCGUAAUGAUGGCCAGGCUGUCUCCACCCGAGACUCAGUGAAAUUGAACUCGCUGUGAAGAUGCAGUGUACCCGCGGCAAGACGGAAAGACCCCGUGAACCUUUACUAUAGCUUGACACUGAACAUUGAGCCUUGAUGUGUAGGAUAGGUGGGAGGCUUUGAAGUGUGGACGCCAGUCUGCAUGGAGCCGGCCUUGAAAUACCACCCUUUAAUGUUUGAUGUUCUAACGUGGACCCGUGAUCCGGGUUGCGGACAGUGUCUGGUGGGUAGUUUGACUGGGGCGGUCUCCUCCUAAAGAGUAACGGAGGAGCACGAAGGUUGGCUAAUCCUGGUCGGACAUCAGGAGGUUAGUGCAAUGGCAUAAGCCAGCUUGACUGCGAGCGUGACGGCGCGAGCAGGUGCGAAAGCAGGUCAUAGUGAUCCGGUGGUUCUGAAUGGAAGGGCCAUCGCUCAACGGAUAAAAGGUACUCCGGGGAUAACAGGCUGAUACCGCCCAAGAGUUCAUAUCGACGGCGGUGUUUGGCACCUCGAUGUCGGCUCAUCACAUCCUGGGGCUGAAGUAGGUCCCAAGGGUAUGGCUGUUCGCCAUUUAAAGUGGUACGCGAGCUGGGUUUAGAACGUCGUGAGACAGUUCGGUCCCUAUCUGCCGUGGGCGCUGGAGAACUGAGGGGGGCUGCUCCUAGUACGAGAGGACCGGAGUGGACGCAUCACUGGUGUUCGGGUUGUCAUGCCAAUGGCACUGCCCGGUAGCUAAAUGCGGAAGAGAUAAGUGCUGAAAGCAUCUAAGCACGAAACUUGCCCCGAGAUGAGUUCUCCCUGACCCUUUAAGGGUCCUGAAGGAACGUUGAAGACGACGACGUUGAUAGGCCGGGUGUGUAAGCGCAGCGAUGCGUUGAGCUAACCGGUACUAAUGAACCGUGAGG
This 1516-nucleotide ribosomal RNA is filed under the name Shigella sonnei. Its description in RNAcentral is "partial 23S ribosomal RNA". It matches the Rfam family "Bacterial large subunit ribosomal RNA", at positions 1420 to 2915 of the family's 2925-position model. Lineage: Bacteria; Pseudomonadati; Pseudomonadota; Gammaproteobacteria; Enterobacterales; Enterobacteriaceae. The record is from RNAcentral.